RNAcentral lists this ribosomal RNA (287 nucleotides) under uncultured archaeon. RNAcentral's name for it is "partial 16S ribosomal RNA". It matches the Rfam family "Archaeal small subunit ribosomal RNA", at positions 75 to 359 of the family's 1478-position model. The record is from RNAcentral.
ACACCGGCGGACGGCUCAGUAACACGUCGUAACCUACCCUCGGGAGGGGGAUAACCCCGGGAAACUGGGGCUAAUCCCCCAUAGGCCUGGGGUACUGGAAGGUCCCCAGGCCGAAAGGGGCUCUGCCCGCCCGAGGAUGGGCCGGCGGCCGAUUAGGUAGUUGGUGGGGUAACGGCCCACCAAGCCGAAGAUCGGUACGGGCCAUGAGAGUGGGAGCCCGGAGAUGGACACUGAGACACGGGUCCAGGCCCUACGGGGCGCAGCAGGCGCGAAACCUCCGCAAUGCG